Molecule: non-coding RNA, 88 nt
Organism: Mycena rebaudengoi
Lineage: Eukaryota; Fungi; Basidiomycota; Agaricomycetes; Agaricales; Mycenaceae
Source: the annotation of a GenBank genome assembly
UCGGACGUGGUGUACGGUACACAGCGAAAUCCUCUUCAAGAUCAAUCAUUGUGAUUUGCAGUCCGGGGUUCGACUCCCCGCGUCCGAA